UCGUCCGUAAAACUAUAGACGAU
RNAcentral lists this small nuclear RNA (23 nucleotides) under Arabidopsis thaliana (thale cress). RNAcentral describes it as "snRNA_15352". The record is from RNAcentral. Lineage: Eukaryota; Viridiplantae; Streptophyta; Magnoliopsida; Brassicales; Brassicaceae.